Molecule: non-coding RNA, 177 nt
Rfam family: 6S / SsrS RNA
About the family: E. coli 6S RNA was the first non coding RNA to be sequenced, but its function was unknown until recently. It consists of 184 nucleotides that fold into an extended hairpin structure with a large single-stranded internal bulge.
Source: Rfam
AAAACCCUACUGUGUACGUAAAUGGUCUCGAAGUUUUGAACCAACACCUUUACAUAGGGGGUCCGGACUCUAUUUCGGUAAGACAAUGCCUUUACUGGACUGUUGAGCUCUAUAGGAGGACACCCACCUGCUUCGGCAGGCUCAAAACUCGGUUAUAGACGGCAUGGUGGGGCUUUU